Molecule: ribosomal RNA, 587 nt
Filed under: uncultured bacterium
Lineage: Bacteria
Description: partial 16S ribosomal RNA
Rfam family: Bacterial small subunit ribosomal RNA
Source: RNAcentral
UGGGGAAUUUUGGACAAUGGGGGAAACCCUGAUCCAGCCAUCCCGCGUGUGCGAUGAAGGCCUUCGGGUUGUAAAGCACUUUUGGCAGGAAAGAAACGUCGCGGGUUAAUACCCCGCGAAACUGACGGUACCUGCAGAAUAAGCACCGGCUAACUACGUGCCAGCAGCCGCGGUAAUACGUAGGGUGCAAGCGUUAAUCGGAAUUACUGGGCGUAAAGCGUGCGCAGGCGGUUCGGAAAGAAAGAUGUGAAAUCCCAGAGCUUAACUUUGGAACUGCAUUUUUAACUACCGGGCUAGAGUGUGUCAGAGGGAGGUGGAAUUCCGCGUGUAGCAGUGAAAUGCGUAGAUAUGCGGAGGAACACCGAUGGCGAAGGCAGCCUCCUGGGAUAACACUGACGCUCAUGCACGAAAGCGUGGGGAGCAAACAGGAUUAGAUACCCUGGUAGUCCACGCCCUAAACGAUGUCAACUAGCUGUUGGGGCCUUCGGGCCUUGGUAGCGCAGCUAACGCGUGAAGUUGACCGCCUGGGGAGUACGGUCGCAAGAUUAAAACUUAAAUGAAUUGACGGGGGUCAUAGCUGUUUCCCU